GACGAACGCUGGCGGCGUGCUUAACACAUGCAAGUCGAACGGUGAACCUGGCUUCGGCCCGGGGAUCAGUGGCGAACGGGUGCGUAACACGUGGGCAACCUGCCCCACGACUCUGGGAGUAACUACCGGGAAACCGGGGACGUAAUACCGGACGUACUCCGAUCGGACGACAUCGUCUGACCGGGAAACGGACUCCGACGGUCGUGGG
RNAcentral lists this ribosomal RNA (208 nucleotides) under uncultured bacterium. RNAcentral's name for it is "partial 16S ribosomal RNA". It matches the Rfam family "Bacterial small subunit ribosomal RNA", at positions 28 to 224 of the family's 1533-position model. The record is from RNAcentral.